Long non-coding RNA from Acinonyx jubatus (cheetah), 1656 nucleotides. RefSeq lists it as uncharacterized. The record is from RefSeq and is a predicted model, not a curated record. Lineage: Eukaryota; Metazoa; Chordata; Mammalia; Carnivora; Felidae. The transcript is spliced from 2 exons.
UCAAUAAUAGAUUAGAGGAAGCAGAAUAAUAGAUCAGUGAGCUGGAAGACACAGUAGUGGAAAGCAACCAAGCUGAAUGGAAAAAAAAGAAUAAUAAAAAAUGAGAAUAGGUUAACGGAACUCAAGAACAUCAGCAAGCAUAAUUACAUUCCCAUUAUAGGGAUCCCGGAUGAAGAAGAGAGAGGGGAAUAGAAAAUUUAUUUGAAGAAAUAAUAACUGAAAACGUCCCUAAUCUGGGUAAAGAAACAGAGAUCCAGGUCCAGGAAGCAAAGAGGCCCCAACAAAAUUAACCCAAUGAGGUCUACACCAAGACACAUAAUAAUUAAAAUGCCAAAAAGUAGAGGUAGAGUUUUAAAAGCGGCAAGAGGAAAGAAAAUCACUGCAUAUAAGGGAAACCCCAUAAGGCUACCAGCUGAUUUUUUCAGCAGAAACUGCAGGCCAGAAGGGAGGGGCAUGAUAGAGUCAAAGUACUGGAAGGAAAAAAAAACUUGCAACCAAGAUUACUCUACUCAGCAACCCUGUCAUUCAGAAUGGACAGAUAGAGUUUCCCAGACAAACAAGUUAAAGGAGUUCACCACCACUAAACCAGCCUUACAAGAAACAUUGAAGGGAGUGGGAAGAAAAGGCCAUAUCAGGAACAAGAAAAUUAUGAAAGGAAAACAUUUCACAGGGAAGUCAUGCCAUGAGUAGUCCCAUGAUGGGAAACUAAUGCUUCCUGCCAAAAGCAGAGUGUGCUUGGAAGGAGAUCCUCUGUGCCUCAUCAAGUCAUCAAAGACUAUAACCCUGGCUGACAGUGUGACUGCACACCAUGAGACACCCUGAUGCUGCAACACCCAGCUCGGCUGCUCCCAGAUGCCUGACCCUCAGAGACAGUGAGAUAAUAAAUGCUCGUCAUUAUAGACCAUGCAGUUUGUGAGUAGUUUGUUUGUUACACAGCAACAAUUGACAGCUAAAGCUCUAGCAAAGUUAAAAAAAAAAUGAGAAGCACAGAAUAUGAAGUUUAAAAGAGGGGACAGCUUUUGUUUAAAUGCUAUAAGAAAUGUGAAUUUUGCAUCAUCGGAUGCCAUAUUUCUGGAAUUAUAGGGUGUUACGUUUCCUCCAAAUCCUCCAUUCACUUCAUUAAGAAUUUGGUGAGUGCUCAUCAAUUCUCUGUUAAGUCUCAAGUAUUAAACACAGGGACAUCACAUAAAAUUCACUUUAUUACAGUGUGAUACUCAGACUACAAUAGCUGCUAAUAAAUGUUCAAUAAUGUAGCAUAUGGUGUAUGUAUGUGUGUACAUAUGCAUUCACAUGCUGGGUUAACAAAGCAAAGGGCUGGGUUACAUAGUAAGUAUAACUAACAAAACAAAUCAGAGCAGAGUGGUUUUUUUUAAUCCAUACCAUUUCACUCUUCAGCAAAGCCAAUCCAAUCUGGUCAGUGUGAACUUUCCUUCCCAUCCCAAAUCUCUGCGGUCCAUAGUAAUUUACAAACCCUUUAUUCUACGAAUACAAGAAAAUCAAUCAUUAAAAGCACAUUAUUAUGUGAGCACUGGGUGUUGUAUGUAAGCGAUAAACCACGGGAAUCUACCCCCAAAACCAAGAGCGCACUGUAUACAAUGUUAGCCAAUUUGACAAUAAAUUAUAUUAAAAAAAUUAAAAACUAAAAUAAAAAAAAAA